CGGUCCUGCAAGUCUUCCGUUAAAUCCAGCUGCUCAACAGAUGGGCUGCGGAGGAUACUACAGGGCUAGGAGGCGGGAGAGGCAAGCGGUACUUUAUGGGUAGGGGUAAAAUCCGUUGAUCCAUAGAAGACCACCAGUGGCGAAGGCGGCUUGCCAGAACGCGCUCGACGGUGAGGGAUGAAAGCUGGGGGAGCAAACCGGAUUAGAUACCCGGGUAGUCCCAGCUGUAAACGAUGCAGACUCGGUGAUGGGUUGGCUUCGUGCCAACCCAGUGCCGCAGGGAAGCCGUUAAGUCUGCCGCCUGGGGA
This 308-nucleotide ribosomal RNA is filed under the name uncultured archaeon. RNAcentral describes it as "bacterial SSU rRNA". It matches the Rfam family "Archaeal small subunit ribosomal RNA", at positions 526 to 834 of the family's 1478-position model. The record is from RNAcentral.